This 492-nucleotide ribosomal RNA is filed under the name uncultured Tepidimonas sp. RNAcentral describes it as "partial 16S ribosomal RNA". Lineage: Bacteria; Pseudomonadati; Pseudomonadota; Betaproteobacteria; Burkholderiales. The record is from RNAcentral.
CACGUAGUUAGCCGGUGCUUAUUCUUACGGUACCGUCAUCAGCCCCAGGUAUUAGCCAGAGCCUUUUCGUUCCGUACAAAAGCGGUUUACAACCCGAAGGCCUUCUUCCCGCACGCGGCAUUGCUGGAUCAGGCUUGCGCCCAUUGUCCAAAAUUCCCCACUGCUGCCUCCCGUAGGAGUCUGGGCCGUGUCUCAGUCCCAGUGUGGCUGGUCGUCCUCUCAGACCAGCUACAGAUCGUCGGCUUGGUAGGCCUUUACCCCACCAACUACCUAAUCUGACAUCGGCCGCUCCAGAGGCGCGAGGCCAAACAUUGCUGCUUGGUCCCCCGCUUUCAUCCUCAGAUCACAUGCGGUAUUAGCACAGCUUUCGCUGCGUUAUCCCCCACCUCUGGGCACGUUCCGAUGCAUUACUCACCCGUUCGCCACUCGUCAGCACCCGAAGGCCUGUUACCGUUCGACUUGCAUGUGUAAAGCAUGCCGCCAGCGUUCAAU